This 253-nucleotide ribosomal RNA is filed under the name uncultured bacterium. RNAcentral describes it as "partial 16S ribosomal RNA". It matches the Rfam family "Bacterial small subunit ribosomal RNA", at positions 524 to 776 of the family's 1533-position model. The record is from RNAcentral.
UACGAAGGGGGCUAGCGUUGUUCGGAAUUACUGGGCGUAAAGCGCACGUAGGCGGGCGAUUAAGUCAGGGGUGAAAUCCUGGAGCUCAACUCCAGAACUGCCUUUGAUACUGAGGAUCUUGAGUACGGGAGAGGUGAGUGGAACUGCGAGUGUAGAGGUGAAAUUCGUAGAUAUUCGCAAGAACACCAGUGGCGAAGGCGGCUCACUGGCCCGUAACUAACGCUGAGGCACGAAAGCGUGGGGAGCAAACAGG